CCUACGGGAGGCAGCAGUGAGGAAUCUUGGUCAAUGGGCGAGAGCCUGAACCAGCCAAGUCGCGUGAGGGAGUACUGCCCUAUGGGUUGUAAACCUCUUUUGUCGGGGAGCAAAAGCCGGACGUGUCCGGCUGUGAGAGUACCCGAAGAAAACGCAUCGGCUAACUCCGUGCCAGCAGCCGCGGUAAUACGGAGGAUGCGAGCGUUAUCCGGAUUUAUUGGGGUUAAAGGGUGCGCAGGCGGAUUUUUAAGUCAGCGGUCAAAUCGUGGGGCUCAACCCCAUCCAGCCGUUGAAACUGGGGAUCUAGAGUGUGCGAGAGGUAUGCGGAAUGCGUGGUGUAGCGGUGAAAUGCAUAGAGAUCACGCAGAACCCCGAUUGCGAAGGCAGCAUACCGGUGCACAACUGACGCUCAGGCACGAAAGCGUGGGUAUCGAACAGGAUUAGAUACCCCAGUAGUC
This 458-nucleotide ribosomal RNA is filed under the name uncultured bacterium. RNAcentral's name for it is "partial 16S ribosomal RNA". It matches the Rfam family "Bacterial small subunit ribosomal RNA", at positions 338 to 795 of the family's 1533-position model. The record is from RNAcentral.